UCACAAGCGGAAGAGGAGAUCUCAUAGUAGCACACAAGAGAACAGGCAUUGUAAACCACAUCACCAGUUUAAAGAAUCUGAUUGAUGUUCCAUUGGGACUGUUUACCAGAUUGCUUUCUAAAUUAGCCAGCUGGGGUUACUUUAAAAAACAGUAUGUAAUUUCUUUCCUUCUCCACGUUAACAGACUUGUUCUGCCAAACUGAGCUUAUUUGUAGUCAGUGCAGACAAAUCAUGCUUCAUACACAUUGUUAUAUAAGGGGAAGGGGGAAGGUUUAUGACAGGAUUUCAAAGACCAGAGAUAAUUAAUAAUUAAUGUACAGUACACUAAAAAAAACUAUCUGUACUCCACUAUUAAUAAAUACAAAAAACCCUAAGGCUUAACAUCGUAGUACUGGUUAUUCAUAGGAUAAUUAUACGUUGUAUAUAUAGACAGGAAGUGAUGAGUGAUGAACAGUUCAUUUGUGCUCAUAGUUAACUACAUAAACAUGAUACUGAGUCCAGUUAACCACCAGGCCAGUGCCUUCUUUGACAUUUGUACCAGGUGUGUUUGGUGGUCAACGUUCACCAUAAUCCAGAAUAUUCUAAUUUUUGAAGAUCAAAAACUUUGAGUGUUUUUAUAAAAUAACAAAAAACUGAAAAAUGCAGAAAAGUAUAAAGAUGGUAAUCUCUGUAGGAAAUUUGUCCCCAUUAUUUAGCUGUAAAAUUAUAAUUUAAAAAAAUCUUUGUUUCUAAA
Molecule: small RNA, 733 nt
Filed under: Pongo abelii (Sumatran orangutan)
Lineage: Eukaryota; Metazoa; Chordata; Mammalia; Primates; Hominidae
Description: retained intron
Source: RNAcentral